GUUUCGGUUGACUUUGCCGGAGAUUCCUAUAGUCCGCCGUCCGCAAAUAAUCCUAUGAACUCGAAAGUUCCGGCGAUCUCUGAUUUUGACGGUGAAUUUUGAUGGAAAUUAGAAAUUCAGAAGGAAAGCUAGCGACUUCGCUCAAGAAUCUGGAUUUGAAUAAGAGUCAUGAACCAAAGAAUAAAGAUUCCUGUUUCGGCUUAUCUAUCUUCCUCACGAAUCUCUGCGUUGAAACGAGGACCUCCAUCUCUUAUUAGCUUAUGCCUUGGUGUUGUUGGGAGGCAUUUAGAAGAAAUCAUUCCUUGUUUAGCUGAUAUCUCCGACAUCUUUCCUGCCGACAUCAAGAUGUCGAUUGCAGCCAUUGCUAAAAGAAGAAAGCUACUGGAUGAUGAUUUGGUUGUCUCUUUGGCUGACACUUCCUGGGAGAUUCUAGACGUUAGCGGUUCAGAUGUUUCGGAUUCUGGGUUAGCUAAAGUCUCGGAGAUGUGCAAAUCUCUCCGAGCUGUGGACAUUAGCCGGUGCAACAAGAUCACAUCCAUGGGAGUCUCGGAGCUUGUACAAAACUGCCGAUCAUUGGAAACUCUAAGAUGCGGAGGAUGCCCAAGCAGUGAGUCCACCGCACGCAGAUCUUUGAGUUUGUUUAAGCCAGACUUGAGUAAUGUUGAAGGAGACACAUGGGAAGAACUAGACGUUACAGAGAUUGGUCAUGGUGGUCACUCACUGCGUUGGCUUGUUUGGCCAAGAAUUGAUAAAGAUUCGUUGGAGAUGCUAUCCAUGGAAUGUCCAAGAAUAGUAGUAAACCCCAAGCCUUCGUUUCUCACUUACAGUCUACACGAGGUUCCUCGAGAAGCAUCACCAGACGUUGCAUUGGACGAGCCCUUUGUGAAAGAUAUUGAUCCCAAGACGUGGGUUGUUAGAGGAGUUGUGAAGAUACCCACAACAUCCUCAUUAUCAUUGACCUCCUCCUCCAGUGAGCUGUCGAUAGCAGAGAAGUUCAGACUAGCGUUUGCGGAGAGAGACGCACGGUUAGCCCCUAAACGAGCAAAGAAUGCAAGGCAACAGCAGCGUCGUGCUGAGAGGGAUUGGAUGAUGUCCAGUGACGAAGCCAAAGCAAUGGCUUUUGCAUCAAAGGCCACCAGGUGUUUGCGCAAGAAGUAGUUUACUUGAUGAAUGAGGGUUGUAUUCUCUGUAUAAAAACAGGCGUCAAAGAAUACGUAAAGAGGAAGAUCAGUGUAUGCCACUUCUCUACUUUGGUUAUGUUGUAUCAUUUCACAGAGUUUUUUUUGGGAAAGCAAAGCGAAUGAAGAAGAACAGUGGGUUCUUAUUGAAGAUAAAACUCUUGGCUCUGUUACUUUAAUUAUGAAUCUGUUCAUGUUAAUGCUUAGAUUCAAAUUAAAGUGGUAAAAAACGAAUUAUAUGUAAUGAUAUUUGUCACUUCUGCA
Brassica napus (rape) is the source of this 1442-nucleotide RNA transcript. RefSeq lists it as uncharacterized. NCBI's taxonomy places the organism in Eukaryota, Viridiplantae, Streptophyta, Magnoliopsida, Brassicales, Brassicaceae. The record is from RefSeq and is a predicted model, not a curated record. The transcript has 6 exons.